GGGGCAGCGGGAUUGAAGCUUGCUUCAAUUGCCGGCGACCGGCGCACGGGUGAGUAACGCGUAUCCAACCUUCCGUACACUCAGGGAUAGCCUUUCGAAAGAAAGAUUAAUACCUGAUGGUAUGAUGAGAUUGCAUGAUAGCAUCAUUAAAGAUUUAUCGGUGUACGAUGGGGAUGCGUUCCAUUAGGUAGUAGGUGGGGUAACGGCCCACCUAGCCAACGAUGGAUAGGGGUUCUGAGAGGAAGGUCCCCCACAUUGGAACUGAGACACGGUCCAAACUCCUACGGGAGGCAGCAGUGAGGAAUAUUGGUCAAUGGACGAGAGUCUGAACCAGCCAAGUAGCGUGAAGGAUGAAGGUCCUACGGAUUGUAAACUUCUUUUAUAAGGGAAUAAACCCUCCCACGUGUGGGAGCUUGUAUGUACCUUAUGAAUAAGCAUCGGCUAACUCCGUGCCAGCAGCCGCGGUAAUACGGAGGAUGCGAGCGUUAUCCGGAUUUAUUGGGUUUAAAGGGAGCGCAGACGGGUCGUUAAGUCAGCUGUGAAAGUUUGGGGCUCAACCUUAAAAUUGCAGUUGAUACUGGCGUCCUUGAGUGCGGUUGAGGUGUGCGGAAUUCGUGGUGUAGCGGUGAAAUGCUUAGAUAUCACGAAGAACUCCGAUUGCGAAGGCAGCACACUAAUCCGUAACUGACGUUCAUGCUCGAAAGUGUGGGUAUCAAACAGGAUUAGAUACCCUGGUAGUCCACACGGUAAACGAUGGAUACUCGCUGUUGGCGAUAUACUGUCAGCGGCUUAGCGAAAGCGUUAAGUAUCCCACCUGGGGAGUACGCCGGCAACGGUGCAACUCAAAUGAAUUGACGG
This 858-nucleotide ribosomal RNA is filed under the name uncultured Bacteroidota bacterium. RNAcentral's name for it is "bacterial SSU rRNA". It matches the Rfam family "Bacterial small subunit ribosomal RNA", at positions 66 to 916 of the family's 1533-position model. The record is from RNAcentral. Lineage: Bacteria; Pseudomonadati; Bacteroidota.